Long non-coding RNA from Mauremys reevesii (Reeves's turtle), 473 nucleotides. RefSeq lists it as uncharacterized. The transcript is spliced from 4 exons. The record is from RefSeq and is a predicted model, not a curated record. NCBI's taxonomy places the organism in Eukaryota, Metazoa, Chordata, Testudines, Geoemydidae.
CAAACAGUCUAGACUCAGGGAUUUCUUUCUGAUCCAGCAAAUGGAGAGAGAUCUAUAUCUAUCCUGCUGGUCUGGACUUUAUGAUUUGCACUCUGUUCGUACUCAGUGAGAGCGGAGGGCCUCCUUCAAUGAAGACAAUGGGCAUCUCUCCCUUGAUCUCAGCAGGCUUUAGAUCAGGCCCUUUUGGAUAGCUUCAUCACUACCACUUACAUUCGUCACAGAAGGGCUGCCACUUUGGUUAAACUCUCCACGUAGACAGGAAGCUCAACCAAGCAUUUCCUCAGCAUUGAUGGCAAAGACUGUCGAUUCACACACAGCGGCAUUCCUAAUACUCACACUUGAAAGGUGAAAUUGACAAGGCAGCUUCGUGAAGAGAAAAAGACACAGAAAAGCUGAGAGACACAGAGGAUAUAUGUCAACAUAAAUUUGAAAGCGCACUGAACUGUUUCAAAUCAUUAAGGUUUUGAUUUGCG